GUAGGGAAUAUUGGGCAAUGGUCGGAAGACUGACCCAGCCAUGCCGCGUGCAGGAAGACGGCCCUCUGGGUUGUAAACUGCUUUUAUCUGGGAAGAAAAAGGCCAUGCGUGGCAAAUUGCCGGUACCAGAUGAAUAAGCACCGGCUAACUCCGUGCCAGCAGCCGCGGUAAUACGGAGGGUGCGAGCGUUGUCCGGAUUUAUUGGGUUUAAAGGGUGCGUAGGCGGCUGAUUAAGUCAGCGGUGAAAGACUUCGGCUUAACCGGAGCAGUGCCGUUGAUACUGGGUGGCUUGAGUGUCGGAGGGGUACAUGGAAUUGAUGGUGUAGCGGUGAAAUGCAUAGAUACCAUCAGGAACACCGAUAGCGAAGGCAUUGUACUGGCCGACAACUGACGCUGAUGCACGAAAGUGUGGGGAUCGAACAGGAUUAGAAACCCGUGUAGUCC
This 444-nucleotide ribosomal RNA is filed under the name uncultured bacterium. RNAcentral describes it as "partial 16S ribosomal RNA". It matches the Rfam family "Bacterial small subunit ribosomal RNA", at positions 354 to 796 of the family's 1533-position model. The record is from RNAcentral.